RNAcentral lists this non-coding RNA (26 nucleotides) under Mus musculus (house mouse). Lineage: Eukaryota; Metazoa; Chordata; Mammalia; Rodentia; Muridae. The record is from RNAcentral.
UAGAUUAAGCUGUGCAUCUGAGUGUG